CUGCGGAAGGAUCAUUAACAAAUUACAACGUUUGUUGCAAAACCCAAUCUGUGUAUUCUUACUUGUUGCUUCCCCGGGGGCCUGCCCCCGGGGAAGGUAACCAAAAAACCCUGUUUUAUCUGAAAUCAGUCUGAACUUUGUUUAUUUAUAAUCAAACGUUUAAAACUUUCAACAACGGAUCUCUUGGUUCUCCCAUCGAUGAAGAACGCAGCGAAAUGCGAUAAGUAGUGUGAAUUGCAGAAUUCAGUGAAUCAUCGAAUCUUUGAACGCACAUUGCGCCCCCUGGCAUUCCGGGGGGCAUGCCUGUUCGAGCGUCAUCAAAACCUCUCAGGCUGGGGUUCCGUCUAUUGGAACCGUCAGCUUGGUCUUGGGCCCGAGGAGUCGAAUCCUCCGCCUGCAAUCCAGUGGCAAAUAUCCUGCACAGCAUGAGCGUGAUAAGCAUGUCAGUCGCAAAUGAACGAAGGGAAUAUUUCGCCAGAACCCCCACAUAUCUUUCCAGUUUGACCUCGGAUCAGGUAGGGAUACCCGCUGAACUUAAGCAUAUCAAUAAGC
Molecule: ribosomal RNA, 552 nt
Filed under: uncultured Pyronemataceae
Lineage: Eukaryota; Fungi; Ascomycota; Pezizomycetes; Pezizales; Pyronemataceae
Description: eukaryotic LSU rRNA
Rfam family: 5.8S ribosomal RNA (bases 164-317)
Source: RNAcentral